RNAcentral lists this long non-coding RNA (1997 nucleotides) under Homo sapiens (human). RNAcentral's name for it is "non-protein coding LINC02246:24". Lineage: Eukaryota; Metazoa; Chordata; Mammalia; Primates; Hominidae. The record is from RNAcentral.
ACUCCUGCCCCUGCCACGAGAACACACCCUUUCCAGUUUGCUGGAGAAAUAUAAGAGAAGUCCAGUGAAAGAGAGCUGAGUUUCCCCAAUGAUGCCAUCAAGAUGAACUAACUACAGUUAACCAGCCAGCUGAUAGCAGAUGCAUGAGUGAGCCCAGCUGAGAGCAGGUGAAACUGAAAUUGGCUGUAUCAUCUGAAACUUCAUCUGUGAAGUCCCUGGUGGUUUCCUAGAUGACUACACAGUUGAGUUGCCUCUGAUUGGAAAAGCAGUGUUUUGGUUUUUCAGUUUGUACAAGAGGAAGAAGACGCAUGAUAUGUGUUUGGCUCAUGUGCCUGAAUAUGGCUCCACAGGGAAGACUUGAUACAGCUGAAGCUAUUGCUUUUUAGAGACUUUUUAUUUUGAGCAGCUGCCUUAACAGCCUUCGUCUUGUUACAUCACAUGAGAUAUAUCUCUGGAAUAGGAAGAGAAAAAAGACAUGACUGAGCAAUAAUUUUUGACUAAAACUUAAAAUUACAAAACCAAAACCAGAGAUAGAUGUCCCUGAAGUUGUAUUUUUAUAGUAUGUGAGAACACAAUUUUCUUAUCCUAGUUUUAAGGCAUUCCUCUGGACCCAGGAUUUUUGUUUAGUUUCAUUCACAUAAUCAAACUCUUUUUUUUUUUUUUGCCAUAGACUAAUGCAUUUUGGUGUAAUGAUCUGAGCCCUUAUCCAGAAGGCAUCUAAGACUCAUGUACAAAAAUAGAUUUCAGGGCUAAACAUUCUAAAAGACAAUUGAGUGCUUCUUUUUUCUCCGGCCCCUAGAUGUAAAUGAAUAACCUCUGUUCACUAACUCUUAAUGUAAUAUAAGGGAUAAAUUAUGCUUGUUUAUUUAAUUGUGCUUAACCAGAGUACUAGGUUGGAGUCAAACCACAGAUAUAUUUGUGAGAUGUGACAAAAUGUAGCUUUUAGCCCGUAAUACCCAAGUCAUCUGGGAACAUAACUGAUGACAGUGUCAACACCUUUCAGGAAUUCUGGAGGUGCCUUUGAGUUUAGAAAUUCGUAGGUUCUCUAGAAGCAACAGUAGCAUACUAAAUUAACACAUAACAUUUCAAGCUACAUUUACAUAAUUGCAGUGGUUAUGAUUAAUACAAAUUAUAUUAACUGCCUGUUUUACUCCUUAUAGCUGAUUGGCUGAAUUUACCAGUGGGUUUGGUAUGUUCAACAAAUGAUCCAAAUUACCUUUUCAUUUCAGUUAAGAAACUAAUCAAAGCAAAUACACUUUGAUUUGUUGAGAGGCAGAGAUUCUCCCUAAGUGGCAAUGUCCUUGGCCUUCUAAGCUAAAACCUAAAUGGAACUAUAAUAUAUAUUUUGAUGCUUUAUCUCACUUGAGUUUUUUAUUCUUUAACUGAAGGGCAGCCAUGGACCAUAAAUACAUAGAAGAUAAAAAUAUAUUGAGCUUAGGAGUUUGGUCUGUUCAAUGGAUGAGAACUUUAUAUUUUCCCUUAUAAACACAAUUUUCAAAGAAUAGCCUGUAAUAGUCGUGAAAAUGGAAACCAAUACUGGGGAAAUGUGGACUGCAACUCUGAAAAGGUAUCAAAAUGCCCGAUAGUUCAACACAAGGGCUAAGCAAUAUUUCAGGGAUGUGGCCUGUCUUUGGUGGCUCGGUCACUCUAGUGAGAUGAAUUUGGAAAAGGAUAGGCAUACAGAAUCCCCCCUCUGGCAGGGUUUGCCUUUGGGGUCUGCUUAAAGCCAUGUUUGCUAGUAGAAAUCUUGAGUAACCAGAUAUGUUUUAUAAUGCUGUGUCAUAUUUAAAUUCUGAUGAGAUUGACAUCUUUAAAUAAGCUUGGACACAGAUUGGAUUUGUACAGGGAACUGGACUGAAGAAUAAUCGUAGGUCAGUAAUAGAUUUAGAUAUACUAUUUUUAUAUUGUAAGCAGUUACUUCUCAGGAUUAGUAUUCUAAUUCAUUUGAUUUAAUAUGUAAUAGGUAAUAUUAAAAAUAAAGAUUUUAUGCUUUGAAA